AAAACGACUCUCGGCAACGGAUAUCUCGGCUCUCGCAUCGAUGAAGAACGUAGCGAAAUGCGAUAMUWGGUGWGAAWUGCAGAAUCCCGUGAACCAUMGAGUCUUUGAWAGCAAGUUGCGCCCGAAGCCGUCAGGCCGAGGGCACGUCUGCCUGGGCGUCACGC
This 164-nucleotide ribosomal RNA is filed under the name Solanum shirleyanum. RNAcentral's name for it is "5.8S ribosomal RNA". It matches the Rfam family "5.8S ribosomal RNA". Rfam says of the family: 5.8S ribosomal RNA (5.8S rRNA) is a component of the large subunit of the eukaryotic ribosome. It is transcribed by RNA polymerase I as part of the 45S precursor that also contains 18S and 28S rRNA. The record is from RNAcentral. Lineage: Eukaryota; Viridiplantae; Streptophyta; Magnoliopsida; Solanales; Solanaceae.